CAGCAAAGCAAUUUCUGUUGAUUAGUCUGAGUAAUAGUCUGGCUUCGCAUGUUUUUCUCUUUUGCAGAAUUCCCACUGCUCUUCUCUAUCCAACAGAGACCAACAGCAAAUGCCAAGAUAUUCAGCCCUUUCCUUUCCUCCUCGUUCGAAACCAAAGGAGGGCCAUACCUUCUACUACUUACUGAAGUCUUCAAGGAAGUCUGGUGGUCAGAAGGCACAGCCCACCCGCCUCCAAAAGAUCUGAGUUUCCAGGGACCCGACUGUGACAUUUUUCAGUGCAAAAACAAUGUCAGUGUAUCCUUAUUAAAAAUAAAAUAUGCACAAAAACAA
Long non-coding RNA from Spea bombifrons (plains spadefoot toad), 330 nucleotides. RefSeq lists it as uncharacterized. NCBI's taxonomy places the organism in Eukaryota, Metazoa, Chordata, Amphibia, Anura, Pelobatidae. The record is from RefSeq and is a predicted model, not a curated record. The transcript is spliced from 2 exons.